RNAcentral lists this long non-coding RNA (771 nucleotides) under Capsella rubella. RNAcentral's name for it is "long non-coding RNA (CRUB_LNC004622)". Lineage: Eukaryota; Viridiplantae; Streptophyta; Magnoliopsida; Brassicales; Brassicaceae. The record is from RNAcentral.
AAAAAAAAAAAAAAAAAGUUGUUUGUGAGCUGGCCAAUGGUAAUAUUCUCUAGGAUUAAUUUAUCACAAAGGAAGAGAUACAUAAUUCAGAAGCUUAUUGUUACUUCAGAACAAAACAUGCAUGUAGGCACGAAGAUGUAUUCGACAGGAGAUUAUAAGAAGGCAAAGAGUACGUAUGAGAGCCGCACACACAAAACUAAUAGAGCUAAUCAUCCUGUAAAACACCUUUGCGAUAGUGACGAACAGCUAGCCGUAACCCCAUUUCUUUUUCAAAUUCACGUUCCAAAAGAUGGAUCGGAGAGUCAAGUAAGCAGGAAAAUUCUUGGCUUUGUGGUCCCUUGUGUUGUAGUUUGGCUCAACUUUAUUGAAGUAGGCAUGAGCAGCACCUAAGCCUUUAGUCUUGGCAAUGAGUUUAACAAAAAGUUUAAGCUCCAGUCCUGUGGAGCAAAACUCAUCUUCUUUCUAUCCAUCCACUCAAAGAUCUAACCAAAACAAAAAGGUUUCAUCAAUCGUAACAAAAUCUCAAGAAAAACAAGAAAGCAAUUAAUGAAUACAAAUGUUAUUAAUAGUAGAUGAGAUGAACCUCGGGGAUUUUUGUAUCUGGGCGGGCGACCCAGAUUUUGCUUAGUUCGGGUGGGUGACCCGGAUAAAAGGUAAUUGAAUCGGUAAAUAAUUCAAAUUAUGCAGGGCUUUAUAGUCUUUCACCGACCUUCCUUUUUUUUUGUUUUUUAAUGAUUUAAAUAAAAAGAAGAAGAAAGAAAUUCAUUUUUA